Molecule: ribosomal RNA, 229 nt
Filed under: uncultured bacterium
Lineage: Bacteria
Description: partial 16S ribosomal RNA
Rfam family: Bacterial small subunit ribosomal RNA
Source: RNAcentral
UCCGCAGGCGGGCAAUUAAGUCAGGGGUGAGAUGGUACGGCUCAACCGUAGCACUGCCCUUGAUACUGGUUGUCUUGAGUCAUAGUGAAGUGGCCGGAAUAUGUAGUGUAGCGGUGAAAUGCAUAGAUAUUACAUAGAACACCGAUUGCGAAGGCAGGUCACUAACUAUCGACUGACGCUGAUGGACGAAAGCGUGGGGAGCGAACAGGAUUAGAUACCCUGGUAGUCC